Molecule: long non-coding RNA, 4776 nt
Organism: Crotalus tigris (Tiger rattlesnake)
Lineage: Eukaryota; Metazoa; Chordata; Lepidosauria; Squamata; Viperidae
Exons: 2
Source: RefSeq, a predicted model, not a curated record
ACUGCGUUGUUUGGCGACCCCUGUGAAAUGGUCGUUCGACCCCAAAUGGGGUCCCGACCCACAGGUUGAGAACCACUGCAUUAGAGUAAUGUGAAUACCAGUAAUAUUAUAUUGUGGUGUUAAUAUUUUUAAACAGGUAUGCAAGAGAUUGGGAUCAACAAAGGAAAGCAGCAAUCACACAUAGAAAAGGUCAAAUAAAAUUGCUAUAAUCUAAGCAAGUUACAUAUAACUACUUACCUGGAUUUCAGAUUAUAUUGUAGAGAAGAUCAUUGUGAUUGGGCAUGCUUUUUUUUUCAGUUUUCAUCGUCUUGAGAGCAAUUAUUUCAGUUUCAUAAAACUUAGGCCAAAGACUACCUCUUAAGAAAGACUUGACUGUUGUGCUACUCAAACACUGCACCUUGCAUCUUAUGACAGAAGUUUAGCUACAAAUCAAAAAAGUAUUGACCAAAGUAUUCUAGACAUUAUUCUGUACUUGAGUCAUAAAGAAAUGCUGCAAUUUUCUUCAGAUAAAGUACUGUGUGGAAUUAACUUAUUUCUUACAGUGGGGAACAAAGGUGAAUUCUCAUCUAUUAAAUAUUCCAAACAUAGGGCUAACUUGCCCAAUUCUAAAAAAUAUCAGCAUAUCAGGGUUUUUCACUCUCAGGAGAUAGAGGUCUGAUUACCAAUAUAAAGACAAGCCAAAGGAAAGUAGUAUAAAUAAUAAUCAAAUGGUAGUAUAAAUAAUACUAACCAAAUUCUAUAGUGCUUUGAUUCAGAUUGGAUAAAAAGUAUUUGUUCCAUGGCUUUUUUCUCUACUAUAAAAUUGAGCUAUGUAAAAUAGCUAUUACAUUUCUAAAAUACCCAAAUAAAUGGAUGUGCUAUUGAUUCAAUUUGUGCAAUUAAAAUGCAUGCUUUUGAAGGAAGAGAGGGCCUAUCUAUUCUUUCAUCCUUUCUUAGUUGCUAUUUGUAAUAGAAGAAUGCCUUCAAGAGAAUAAGAUCCCUCUUAAGGUUUGUUUGUUUAUUCUGUCUGCAAUAAAGACAAGUACCAUUUAAAUGUUUGAAAUGUGAGACAUCAGAUUUAAUCUUUGGGCUAACAGAAGACUCCUGUUUGAUAUUGGAUGAAUCAUUGAUGGAUUUCCUAUCCCAUCUCAGAGGAAGGUUUCUGUAGAGAUGAAUAUUGAUAGGGAGCAAAAUGAGUUGCUCCAAGCUUUGGAGGAAACUAGGAGUAAAGUUCAAAUUACAGCUGACACUGUGGACAGCAAAUUCCAAGUUUCAUUACUUUUUAAAAAUAAAAUGCUAAGGAUGGAUCUAGCUUUGGUAAUGGAUCCCACUCUUGAAAAUAAUGAAAUAGAUCUAAAUCUGAUAUUUUUAUAAAUGCUGUAUUUAUAAAUGCAAUUUUUUUAAAAUUUUGAUGGAUCAACAUCAUGAUCAAUUAGACAACGAUAGAUUACACAUAUAAGGACAAAAUAAUUUAAUUAAGCUUAAAGUUUUAUACUCUGACUUGAUGCUACACCCGUUACAAGUAGUCAACUUACAACUGAUUAACAAUGGUUCAGAGGUAUGAUGAACUUGGAAAAAGUAACUUACAACCUGUACUGUCAGUUAUGAUCAUUGCCCCUCCCUCGUGGUCAUAUGACCACAGUUCAGCACUUGGCAACCAGCCUUGCAUUUACACAUGAUUGCAGUGUUUUAAGGUCACAUGAUUGCAAUUUGUAACCUUUUUGUUGAUUUCCAACAAAAAAAACCAUGGGAAAGUUGGAUACAUUUAACAACCAUAUAAUUCCCUUAACUACUGCUGUAAAAAUUAUUGUAAGGCCAACUUUGAUUUAUGAUCACAACAAUGGAAAUUGUUCUGGUCAUAAGGAUUAUCUGUACCUUAUUCUUUCCUGAAAAUGGAUUAGAGAUCAGUUACAUUUUGUUGGUAUAUAAUUGCCUGAUCUUGUAUAAUGUAAAACCAAACUAACCAUUUUAUGACUAAUGCAAUGUGUGAAUGCAGCCACGUAUGCAGUUUUCUUGGCAAUACUUUUGAAAGUAGUUACCAUUGCCUUUUUCCUAGUGCUGAAAGAGAGGGACUUGUGCCUAAGGCAGAACUAGAAGUCAUAACUACCUGGUUCCUAUUUCAGGGCCUUUAACAAUAACUAUAAUGCUCUAGCAUUUUUAUUUAGAAAGCCUUUGGUAAUUAAAUCUGACAAUAAAUAUAUGUGAUUUGAGUGUUUGUUGAUGAAUAUGCAUUUUAUUGCUCCAAUAUGCAUUUGAAGUCCUUGUUAUGUGCCAAAUUCUCUUCAUAAUGCUGGACAUCUACAGUAUAUAUUGGUGAUAUUAUUGAAAGAAUGAGGGUUGAGUAAACUACUGGUGAUCAUACUCUUGUGCCCUGGAACAUUUUAUGUUAUACUUCAAGAAUGUUCAGGCUCUUGAGCCCUUCUCAUUAAUCAAUUUACAUCCCAAUUAAAAUGUUCAAGGAAGCCUAGAUAUUCAAUCUGGACAUAUAUUAGGUUUUGCUCCUGCAUAGGAAUGACAAUACUACCAGCAGUAAUUAUUUUCUAAUUUUGGAAUGAUCUUGGCUCUCACUUAAAAUUUAUUUUUAGGUAAAUGAGAAAAAAAAGAAAAAAUACUUUGUUUAAAAAGCUAGAAAAGCAAAUAUUGUAUCCACUGAUUGUGAAUACUUCAAAAAAAAAUUGAGGAAUUCCAGUGGAAAUGUGUGUAUAGUCAUUAGGAAAAGUAUAGCUUUAGCAUAUUGAAGGAACAGAGUUUCCCCUUGACUAGAGAUAAAUGGUCUUGUUCUGAUAACCUGUUUAAUUCAAAGCAGUCAUUAAACCAGUCAAAUCUUUAAUAGUUCUGACCACACACAAUCCUACCAAAUUAAAGAAAAAAAUACAACUUGGGGAAUAUAGAACAAGGCUAUAUUACAUUGAAGGAAAUAAAAAUUAAGGAAAUAAAAGUUAUUCUUUUAAUAAUUGUAGAAAUAAUUGUAGAAAUGUAAUGCCAUUAUAUGAAACUGUCUCUUUAGUACUAAUGUAAUGCUGUAACACAAAUGUAACAAUGCAAUGCCAAUAUAUGACCAAAUGUUUACUAUAUCCUGCCUAAAAAUCUCCCGGACAUAGGAAAUUACACUUUAAGUGGAAAUCCUACUAUCAAAGAAGGGGAUUUUAACCCAAAGUGAGAAUUCCAGAUAAAAAAGAUAACAGCAGAUGGACGGAAGAGGUCAGGUUAACAAAGUACCACUUCAGAGAAAACCACUAAGAUGAAAGAGAUGUGACAAUGCAUUGUAGGGCUAUAAAAUGCAAAACCUGAAACCAGGCCAGUGUGCUCCUGGAAUCCAAUCCAUAGGGAAGGAUCCAGGGGGCCGCGUUUGCAAACGUUCCUCUCUUCUAUUCUUUCUCUUUUCUCUUUUAUUCUGUUUCUGUUAUUCUCCAAUAAACCUUUGUUUUGUUAACCAGACUUGUCUUCCUAUUGUGAGUAUCAAAAUUUGGGGUUUUUACAUCUCACAAUCUUGGUGGAGGAUGCGGGCAUUAAGAGCUUCUAGGGGACACUGGUCUCAGUAAAAUCAGGAGCGCGCCUGUUGAUUUCAACUGCCUGAAGUUAUCUGAGAUCUAGUUUCCCUUUGCAGGCUCCGAGCCAAACUAAAUUGACAACUCUGGUUUACAAAAAUCAAAGGACAGGAAAUAGGAAGAAAGUCAACAACUGAAGCCCAGACCAGGUAACCCAGUGCACUGGCCCAGAAAGGCAUUCUUGCCCAAACUCCUUGGACUUUGUAGUACACCAAUACAAAGCAGGACAGUGGGUGUUGAUAAAAGCCUGGAGAGAGGAAAAACUAACUCCAACCUGGGAAGGACUUUACAUCAUCUUGUUAACCACUGAGACAGCUAUCAGGACAGCUGAAAAAGGUUGGACCAUUACUCCCAAGUAAAAGGGCCUGUGCCAGCCCCAGAGGAGUGGAAGGUGGAAUCUCACCAAGGAGAUUCACUGAAGCUAAAGUUCCGAAGGACUUCAUGGACUAAUAGUCAAUCUUCCUGACAGAAAGGGGGGUAAUAGAGGAAAAAGAACUAAACUUUAUAUUUCUUUUUCUAUCUAGAACCAAAGGAAAACCAAGACCUCCCGCAUGUGCUGAUUUUGUGGGUAUCUUUGUGGGUGUUGUUGCUGCUCUCACUGUAUUAAUUGUGUUCAGUGCACAGGGUGUGAGAUAGAGUGUGAUAUUAAGUCUUAGAAGAUGUAUUGGAACAUUACAAGAUGGUAUGUCUGGGGGGGUAGUUUCUUAUUAUACUCUUAAAACCUAUCCAACUAUUAGAAUCAUGUAAGCAAUGUGUAAAAAUGACAAAGGGAGAAGGAGAAAAUAUACACUGACUCCAAGUAUGUUUAUGGAGUUUUGAAUACUGGUGGAAGAAGAAAAAAAAGAAAAGUUAUGCUAGAGUGGCAGAAGGGAAGGAAGGAAUGGUUAAUAAAAGAAAGAAACAGGAAAGUUGUUUUAAGUUUGUUUGCACAGACUUGUGAAUUGCAUGCAUUAAGCAGGGAGACUGCCAUUAAAGUGGUCAGCCCAAACGUGUGAAUUGUAUGCCUUAACACAAGCCUUAGAAUGUUGAAGGAAUAAGAAUGUACUAAAGAUGGGAGGUGGAUGUUGCAAGAUGGGAGAGGGAUGUUGAAAAGAAAAAAGAAAAAAACAACAACAAAACAAUGGCUAGAACACAGAAGCAGCCACUGAAGGGGGGUCACAAGGGAUGAUUAAUAUUUUCUACAACAGGAUGGUUGUAUUUAUAUUUUAGUUAAACAAAUAUGUGAUAAAAUUCAAGUUAAAAAAAAAAA